Molecule: long non-coding RNA, 229 nt
Filed under: Lathyrus oleraceus (garden pea)
Lineage: Eukaryota; Viridiplantae; Streptophyta; Magnoliopsida; Fabales; Fabaceae
Description: Pisum sativum (pea) long non-coding RNA (PSAT_LNC024349)
Source: RNAcentral
GUUAUUUAGUGUGUCGUUCUAUAUGCUCGCACGACGUGUCGAUGCUUCAGAACAAAAGCCCAAGAUCUUUUGUCCGUUCGGUCAGUGGAGAGGGUUCCACCUUUCCGAAUCCCCACUUUUUGUCUUGAGCUCACCUUGCCCAGGGUUAAAGAGCUAUGAGGUCUUAUCCUCAUUACCCUUCUGAUCUGCUCACCCUGACGUUCAGUGUCAGUGGUUAAGAGCCCGUUUA